This 279-nucleotide ribosomal RNA is filed under the name Phascolarctobacterium faecium. RNAcentral's name for it is "partial 16S ribosomal RNA". It matches the Rfam family "Bacterial small subunit ribosomal RNA", at positions 492 to 776 of the family's 1533-position model. Lineage: Bacteria; Bacillati; Bacillota; Negativicutes; Acidaminococcales; Acidaminococcaceae. The record is from RNAcentral.
UAUGGUAAUUGCCAGCAGCCGCGGUAAUACGUAGGUGGCGAGCGUUGUCCGGAAUUAUUGGGCGUAAAGAGCAUGUAGGCGGCUUAAUAAGUCGAGCGUGAAAAUGCGGGGCUCAACCCCGUAUGGCGCUGGAAACUGUUAGGCUUGAGUGCAGGAGAGGAAAGGGGAAUUCCCAGUGUAGCGGUGAAAUGCGUAGAUAUUGGGAGGAACACCAGUGGCGAAGGCGCCUUUCUGGACUGUGUCUGACGCUGAGAUGCGAAAGCCAGGGUAGCGAACGGG